CCUGGCUUUCCAACCUGCCACGGCUCUGAGGUUCAUCCAGCUUCUCUCUCCCUGCCCUCUGGGCUUUGGUCUGAUGUCUUGAUUGCAAACAGUGAUGCCCUGGUCAUGCCCUUCUGCAUGAUUCCCCAGGGGUUUCCCCAUUUUAGCUACCAUGUGUUUGCUCUCCUCCCUGCUCAGCCCGCCUCACCCCAGCAUUCUCAUCCAAUGAUUUCAUGGAGUGACUUAUGCCAUUUCUGCCUUAGGACUACAUGGCGUGGAGAGACUAAUACCUUAAACCAUGAGAGUCUGAAAUGGAACAGCUACCAGAGUCGGCAGUCACAGGGCUCGGCGAAGAAGCAGCCUAGGACCUAUCACAGAGAAGAUGGCCUUGGUGUCCUGACCACUCUCCAGCCAUCGAAGCAGUGGACUGGCCCCAGGGCGCGGGCUCCUUGGGCAAACAGUGCCCAGGAUAUUUUGGUGAGCACCGAGGGCCAGGGGUCACCGGUCCAAAGGACCCAGUGGAGUCCUCC
RNAcentral lists this long non-coding RNA (509 nucleotides) under Sus scrofa (pig). RNAcentral's name for it is "lncRNA (ENSSSCG00035031625.1)". The record is from RNAcentral. Lineage: Eukaryota; Metazoa; Chordata; Mammalia; Artiodactyla; Suidae.